AGCGCAUCUACUGUAUACCUGUCUGAAGAUCAGCAAAGAAUACAGUCUAAAAGAAGGACCAGCAAAUCUACAGCUCUACAAACUUGAUGUGCGAGAAGAUAUCGCCAGAUUUUCACGAAUCCUUUGUGAAAAAAUGGUCGGAGCAUCGCUGUGCGAUCCCUGGAUGUUCCUUUUGCAUCGUGAUUGACGGAAAUGCAAAAAACCACCGUCAGGUGUGUGGGGUAAAAGAAGGAACGAUAGAAUUCCCCGGAUUGCCAGGAAGCAUUAAGACCGGCUGCAUCAAUACACCCGCAAAGGGAUCUCGCUUUUGCAAAAGCUGCAAAGAGUUUGUCUGCGAGAGGAAAAACGCAAAAGAUGAAGACACUAGCUCAUAUGAACCAGGCACAAACAACAAAGAUCCAUAUAUGAUUGAUGAAAUCAUAGAGAUGAAAGAAAUGAGGACGAUGAAACUGUACAAAGUUAGUUCUUAUCAUUUU
Long non-coding RNA from Branchiostoma floridae (Florida lancelet), 476 nucleotides. RefSeq lists it as uncharacterized. The record is from RefSeq and is a predicted model, not a curated record. The transcript has 3 exons. Lineage: Eukaryota; Metazoa; Chordata; Leptocardii; Amphioxiformes; Branchiostomatidae.